ACGCUCGACACCUACGGAGGCAGCAGUGGGGAAUAUUGCACAAUGGGGGAAACCCUGAUGCAGCGACGCCGCGUGGAGGAAGAAGGUCUUCGGAUUGUAAACUCCUGUUGUUGGGGAAAAAGAGGAUGGUACCCAACAAGGAAGUGACGGCUAACUACGUGCCAGCAGCCGCGGUAAUCUGAGGCGGGCGUGGCAAGGC
RNAcentral lists this ribosomal RNA (199 nucleotides) under uncultured bacterium. Its description in RNAcentral is "partial 16S ribosomal RNA". It matches the Rfam family "Bacterial small subunit ribosomal RNA", at positions 328 to 544 of the family's 1533-position model. The record is from RNAcentral.